This 974-nucleotide long non-coding RNA is filed under the name Malus domestica (apple). RNAcentral describes it as "long non-coding RNA (MDOM_LNC008246)". The record is from RNAcentral. Lineage: Eukaryota; Viridiplantae; Streptophyta; Magnoliopsida; Rosales; Rosaceae.
CGUCAAAUCUCACUUCUUGAACAUAAAUUGAUGGCCAAGUAUUAAAAAUAACAAUUCAAUAAAAAAAAACAUAUUUAUAAAACCAAGACAUAUCCUCACAGGAUAAUAAUUAUGAAAACAUGGGUAAUCAUCAAUAUAAUAUAUAUUAAAGUCACUCACAUUUCUCCACAUCACAUUAAUCCCUAUGAAUUACAACGUAGUCUCCUACACCAUCAACUUCCACCAACUAAUAUAUCACACAAGCAUAUAAGUUCUACAUAAUAUUUCAAAUAGGAUUCUAAGAUCACAUAGCCAUAAAUUUAUCAUACUUAUCAUUCACAUUACUAGAAAUAAUUAAACAUCCAUAUAUCACCAUUAUCAUCAAUACACAAGCCAAAUCAUGUUUAAUAAACAUAAGUCUAGGGCUAAAUAUAUGAAAAUCACAUUUCAAUAGAAAUCAUAUUUAUAAGUCCAAUGCACAUUUACAAAUGAUAUUAAUAUAAGAAAUUAAGGUAAUAACCAUAUCACAAUAUUCAAGUCACUCUCCAACCAAUGUAGGUCACUAGACUUCACUUAAGUCUCCCGUAGUACUAAUUUUAGUAUUUGGAACAUUUCGAGACAUGUUGACCAAAAGUCAACUCUCGGUCAAAGGUAGGGUCCACAAUUCUACACAAUUCAAUCCGAAAGAUUCACACAUUAGAUUUUGGAUCCGUAACCUUCUAAGGUCCACAUUAUGCUUCUAAAACAACCUACCAAAAUUUCAUCAUGAUCCAACGGUCGGAUCUUCGUUAAUUACAAAUUCAAGUGGCGGCCAACGCUUGAUUUUACAAACUUAGAAAUCCAAUUCAAGAAGAUCCGUACGUCGGAUUCCCGAUCUGUCAGUUCUAGCUAUCCUCAAAUAUUAUGUUCUACAAUGCAUUAAAGUUUGGUGACGAUCCAACUGUCGGAUCAUUGAUUCAUAUAAAGGUCAAGUGAUGUAUUGUAAUGAAACUAAG